Molecule: RNA transcript, 1918 nt
Organism: Rhododendron vialii
Lineage: Eukaryota; Viridiplantae; Streptophyta; Magnoliopsida; Ericales; Ericaceae
Gene name: UBP1-associated protein 2A
Exons: 3
Source: RefSeq, a predicted model, not a curated record
AGGCUGCGGACAUACCAUAGAACAAAAGGGUAUCUUUGAUCGCUGUCUCUCCUAGGUCACUUGUUCUUCCCACUCUUCAAGCUUCGACCACCAUUCAACCAUGCCGCCAAAGCGAAAACUGGAUUCCAAACCCACCGACACACAACCCAACAAGCAGCAACACAUUGAAGAAGAGGAACAAAACCCUUCUGAUCCAGAAGAGUACGAAGAAGUAGAAGAAGAAGAAGUAGACGAAGAACAAGAAGAAGAAGAAGAAGAAGAAGAGGAGGAGGAAGAAGACGAUGAUGUCGUAUCCGAUGUCAACCAGACAAUCGGCGGGGAAGCCGUCGAAGACAACGACGAGCCCUUCCAGAACCUCCUGGAACCCUUAUCCAAAGACCAGCUGAUCAGCCUCCUCUCGUCGGCGGCCGAAACCCACGCCGACGUGGCGAACAACAUUCGCGUGAUCGCGAACAAGGACCCGUCCCACCGCAAAGUCUUCGUCCACGGCCUCGGCUGGGACGCCACCACCGAAACCCUAACCGGCUUCUUCUCCCAGUACGGCCAGAUCGAGGACUGCAAGGCCGUCGUCGACAAGGCCACUGGAAAAUCCAAGGGCUACGGCUUCAUCCUCUUCAAAACCCGCGCCGGGGCCCGGAAUGCUCUGAAAGAGCCCCAGAAGAGGAUCGGCACGAGGCUGACCUCGUGCCAGCUGGCUUCGCUGGGCCCUGUGCCCUUGGGCGCGGCGGCUCCGACACCGGCUGCUGCUGAGUCGGCGUCAGAGUACACGCAAAGGAAGAUAUACGUAAGCAAUGUUUCUGCAGACCUGGAUCCGCAGAAACUGCUCACGUUCUUCUCGAAGUACGGGGAGAUUGAGGAGGGGCCGUUGGGGAUAGAUAAGCAGAGUGGGAAGUUUAAGGGGUUUUGUUUGUUUGUGUAUAAUGCGAUUGAGAGUGCGAAGAAGGCUUUGGAGGAGCCUCAUAAGAAUUUCGAAGGGCACGUGCUGCAUUGCCGGAAGGCGAUUGACGGGCCGAAAAUAAACAAGGCGCUAUUGAACCCUAAAUCGCGCUUCCAGAGGAAUGACAAUGCAGCCACUGGGCAUUUGAUGGCGCCGGCAGCAGCACCCGUGGUUCAGUAUAACCAGGGAGUGGCGGCUGCAGCUGCACAAGCUCUAACGCCUGCUCUUGGGCAGGCGUUGACGGCAUUGCUUGCGAAUAACUUGUUUGGUGGCCUGGGGACAGCUGGGGUGGGUGCUGGAGUGAACCCGGGUGGAGUACAGGGUGGAUAUGGAUAUGGGAACCAGGGUAUGGGCAGUGGUACGGGAGGCUAUGGGAAUCAGGUUGGGUAUCAAAACCAGCAGACUGGACAAGGAGGUUCUGGUCGGGGACAGCAUGGAGCUGGGCACAUGGGUGGCAUUGGACCUUACAAAGGUGAUUGCAGGUGUAUUCCAGCAAAAUAAUGAUGCCUGGAAAGGGAACGAUAACACUAUCAAGAAAAACUAUUGCAGAAAAAGGAAAUCCUAGAAAUCCCCGUAGGUGCAUAAAUCUUUUUGAACUGGCCCGGUGAUUCAUCUGAAGUUUCAGGAGCUCAUGCAAAAGUCAUGUUUAUAUUUAUGAGAAAAAUCCUCAUUGCUACUACAAAGAUCAGUCUUUGUAUGGCCAAAAUGGGUUUACUGAUUUCUACUUUCAAUUUUCUCUCUACUGUUCGUUUUGAAAUAACUUAAAACUGUGGGGUUCUGGUUGAGUGCUUUUUCGUAUUGGACUUUGUUCAUGUGAAAUACUAUAUUUUGUUCUCGUUUUAUUUUUUUCCUUUUUGAGAUACCUAAUGUCACUGAAGCAACUAAGCUAGUAAGCUAAUAUGGUAGCAUGGUGUGUUCCUUGGAUGUUUUUGAUAACUUCUGUUUAUGAAAUCUCAAAUCUCUCUUGUGAUUUUUCACUUA